ACUGCAAGUAUUGACACUAAAGGCCUUUUUUCUCUUGAUGAUGUUGCUCCUGGUCCUCAUGAUAUUUUCUCUUUUUAAUGAGAAUGCUAAUGCAGAUGUGAUAACCUCAUUAUCCAUGGAGCAGCAUGUUUUAGCAAAAGAAGAUGUUACACUGUCCUGCAACUACAGUGGCAAUAUUCGCAGUUUGCAGUGGUACCGUCAGUAUCCCGCAUCUAAACCUGAGUUUCUCAUUUUUUACACUGAGACCACUGGUCAUUCAGAGCCCAAGCUUCGUCUGUAUGCAAUGGCCGAUAAAGGAAUCAAGCGAAUGAAUCUGAGAAUAUCCUCUACACAUGUGGAUGAUUCUGCUGUUUACUACUGUGCCCUGCAGCCCACAGUGACAGGAAAACUGUCUAUGCCUUACAGAAACUGGAAGUAACAGCAACAGAACAAAUCAAUUAGCAAAUAUCUCAAACAUUUAUACGCUGUUCUUAGGUAGUCUCAUAAUGAUGA
Rhinichthys klamathensis goyatoka is the source of this 492-nucleotide non-coding RNA. Lineage: Eukaryota; Metazoa; Chordata; Actinopteri; Cypriniformes; Leuciscidae. The record is from the annotation of a RefSeq genome assembly.